UCGGAUCCCCGGUUCUCACCCGGCCGCGUAGUGGCGGGAGACGGGCCUGUGACGCGUGGGGCCCCUGUCCGCUGCUUGCACCGGAGCCCCGGCCCCCUGCUUUCCCCUGGCCGGGCCAGCCGGCUCUGCGCCGCCUCGGAGACAAGAAAGCCGUCUGGAUGGCUUUGCGGGCCCAGCUCCGCCAGCGCCCCCUCGGCUCCUGCGGGGCGUGAAGGGGCCACACUGCCUGCUGCACCCGCCCUGUGCAGGGGCUGGGGCUGCCCUGUGGGUAGGGAAACUGGAAGAGCCCAGAGGAAGGAGGCCUGGUGUCUGGUGGUGGUGGUUUCUGAACCCAGGCACCUGGCUUGGAGUAGGUACUCAGCUGGUCCUGUGGGUUGAAUGAACUAUGGAGGCAUUUUUCAGCAGAAACUAGUCUUCCUGUGGACCAUCUGAUGAGGGUGGCAUCUUUAUGGGAAGUGAUGACGGCCCUUGGGUCCUGGACUUGGGUGUUUACUGUUGAUGGUGUCAUGGACUUGUAAGCAGUACCAAAUGGACUGAUCAUAUGCUGGCUUCUUGUUCCUGCCGGAAUAUCAUGUGGCUGCUAUUCCAUGUGCAUAAGAGCAGUCCUCAGGGAGAACCUGGGUUUCAAAGUCUCAGGACAGUCUUAGGCCUGAAGACUUGAAGGAAGUUUCAAGACCACACGAUGGUGACCCUCAGAAUGACUUGGGAUGGAGGUUUGCUGCUUUUUCUCCCCAGGAUUCGAUGGCUGUUUGUGUACCUGAGUGGGGCAGAGAAUGGAGAGUGAGGUCAUCACAUGAAGCAUCACUAGCCCUGCUCCCUGCUGCCUGCUCAGAGCAUCAUGGAACUGUUCACUCUGCACGAGAUUGGCAGGGACUGGGAGCACGUGGCCUUGACAGCAGUAUCUCAAGAAGACAAUGGGCAGGGAAGGCCAGCCCCAUGUCCCUUCCCAAGCUUGGGGUGACUUUUUUAAAUAACUGGGAGCUUUUCUCUUGAAUUUAUAGCUAGCUACUCAAUCAAUACAAUGUGAUUGUGUUACAGUAUAAUGUUAGGACAAUAACAAAAUAAAAGUUUUGAAAAAUCCAUAAGUUUGGGAGACCUGAAAUACAUUUGAUGUUACUCAUCAAAGAGAAUGAGAAAACAUAUAUAACUAUGAUAAUGACGAUUUCAUUAUCAUACCAACUUGUGGGAUGGAACUAAGAUAAUUCCUAAGGAGAAAUUUAUAUCAUUUUGCAAACAUUGGAGUAGAAGAAAGACUGAAAUUUAAUAAGUUGUAAAGAGAGAAGACAUAAAAGUAAUAACAAUUAGAGCAGAAACUAAAAAAGAAGAUAUAUGCAAAAAUGAAGAGUAGCAUGGUUAGGUUGGUUCUUUGAAAAGAUGUAGGAUAGUGAAACCUGGUGAAACUGAAGAAAACAGUUUUAGGAAUGGAAAAGGCCAGAUAGAGCUGGCAUUAAAAAGGGAAUAAAUUACUUUUGCCUUUAAAACUGAACUUUGACAAAAUAUCCAUUUUUGGAAAACUUGCAUAACCUCAUAGCCCAUCUGAUAAAGGUCAUAGUUGAUGGAGUUAAAUAAAGUUGCAUUUAUUGUAUUUAUUUAAUGCCUCUUGAGAAAGAACAGUUCCAGAGGAGUCUAAGGGUGACCUUAGAGUAAGGACCUACAUAGCCAGGACAUCGGCACACUAGUGCCUCUGGGCUUAUGUCAUGGGGAAAACUGUUAAUCUGAGAGCUUAUAUUAUUGAAAUGUUUUUAUAUUAAUAGUAGGUUAUAUGUACACAAAUAAUAUUGGAAGAGGGGACUCUUACCAGCUUUGUGGGUUUUUUCCUAAAUUUGGCAAAUGAGCUCUCAAAGUUUCGCGUUUAUUAAAACUUGGAAAAUGCUAAAAUCUGUGUGUUUUUGUCCUUUUUAAGGUGAAGGUAAAUCUUCCUGUUACCUGGUUAUGGUUUCAGGUUUCUAGGAAACCCAAAGAUAGUUUAUGCAAAAAGAUGUUUUAAUCCCUUUACUAAGUUCUGAAUUUGAGAAAGGAAAAGUCAGCUGUCAGGAGGUACAAUAUGAAUAUUCACAAUUUGAAGUUAAAAAUUAAUGUGGGGG
Talpa occidentalis (Iberian mole) is the source of this 2084-nucleotide long non-coding RNA. RefSeq lists it as uncharacterized. The record is from RefSeq and is a predicted model, not a curated record. The transcript is spliced from 5 exons. Lineage: Eukaryota; Metazoa; Chordata; Mammalia; Eulipotyphla; Talpidae.